This 313-nucleotide long non-coding RNA is filed under the name Nicotiana benthamiana. RNAcentral's name for it is "long non-coding RNA (NBEN_LNC041313)". The record is from RNAcentral. Lineage: Eukaryota; Viridiplantae; Streptophyta; Magnoliopsida; Solanales; Solanaceae.
UCUCUCUCACAGCGCUAUUGUUUUCCCUAUUGUUGAACCAUGAUUCUGCUUUAUUUAUUGGUUCUUUCUCUAGAUUGUUCUCAAACUCCUAGAGUAAAUUUGUUGCAUUGCAUCUCUAUUAACAUGAUUUUCAAAAUAUCUUGAUUAAAGUUGCUAAUAUGAGCCUGUAUCUUUUCCCAAAUUUGAGCGGACAUGGUCAGUUCAUUACUGAAUUGAUUUUGAAUAUUGACAUGGAAAAGGAAAGGAUAGAGAAGAAGGUGGCAGCAGCUAAUAAGAUUAGGAUUAGUUUUGGGAAAAUAGGUUAAACCAUUCG